Dreissena polymorpha is the source of this 455-nucleotide long non-coding RNA. RefSeq lists it as uncharacterized. The transcript has 2 exons. NCBI's taxonomy places the organism in Eukaryota, Metazoa, Mollusca, Bivalvia, Myida, Dreissenidae. The record is from RefSeq and is a predicted model, not a curated record.
UUAACCAGGUUUUCCGAAGGAAAAAACUGGUUAUUAGAUUGGCGAAUGCGGGCGGGCUGGCUGGCUGGCUGGCGGGCUGGCUGGCUGGCGGGCUGGCGGAAUAAGCUUGUCUGGGCCAUAACUAUGUCGUUCAUUGUCAGAUUUUAAAAUCAUUUGGCACAUUUGUUCACCAUCAUUGGACGGUGUGUCGCGCGAAAUAAUUACGUCGAUAUCUCCAAGGUCAAGGUCACACUUUGAGUUCAAAGGUCAAAAAUGGCCAUAAAUGAGCUUGUCCUGGCCAUAACUAUGUCAUUCAUUGUGAGAUUUUAAAAUCAUUUGGCACAUUUGUUCACCAUCAUGGGACGGUGUGUCCCACGAAAGAAUCACGUCAAUAUCUCCAAUGUCAAGGUCGCCACGACUAAAAAUAGAUUUAAAAAAAAAAAAAACUUACAAAGGGGGUUAAUUUUUUUUGGUCA